AGUGAACGCUGGCGGUAGGCCUAACACAUGCAAGUCGAACGGCAGCACAGUAAGAGCUUGCUCUUACGGGUGGCGAGUGGCGGACGGGUGAGGAAUACAUCGGAAUCUACUUUUUCGUGGGGGAUAACGUAGGGAAACUUACGCUAAUACCGCAUACGACCUACGGGUGAAAGCAGGGGAUCUUCGGACCUUGCGCGAUUGAAUGAGCCGAUGUCGGAUUAGCUAGUUGGCGGGGUAAAGGCCCACCAAGGCGACGAUCCGUAGCUGGUCUGAGAGGAUGAUCAGCCACACUGGAACUGAGACACGGUCCAGAAUCCUACGGGAGGCAGCAGUGGGGAAUAUUGGACAAUGGGCGCAGGCCUGAUCCAGCCAUACCGCGUGGGUGAAGAAGGCCUUCGGGUUGUAAAGCCCUUUUGUUGGGAAAGAAAAGCAGCAGGUUAAUACCCCGCUGUUCUGACGGUACCCAAAGAAUAAGCACCGGCUAACUUCGUG
RNAcentral lists this ribosomal RNA (492 nucleotides) under uncultured bacterium. RNAcentral's name for it is "partial 16S ribosomal RNA". It matches the Rfam family "Bacterial small subunit ribosomal RNA", at positions 29 to 507 of the family's 1533-position model. The record is from RNAcentral.